GAUUAACGCUAGCGGAAGGCAUAAUACAUGCAAGUCGAACGGGAUAGAACUUAGCAAUAGGUUCUUGAGAGUGGCGCACGGGUGCGUAACACGUAUGCAACCUACCUUUAACUGGGGGAUAGCCUCUCGAAAGAGAGAUUAAUACCCCAUAGUAUAACUGAAGAGCAUUUUUUGGUUAUUAAAGAUUUAUCGGUUAAAGAUGGGCAUGCGGCUGAUUAGGUAGUUGGCAGGGUAACGGCCUACCAAGACGAUGAUCAGUAGGGGGCGUCAGAGCGUGGUCCCCCACACUGGCACUGAGAUACGGGCCAGACUCCUACGGGAGGCAGCAGUAGGGAAUAUUGGGCAAUGGAUGCAAGUCUGACCCAGCCAUGCCGCGUGCAGGAAGAAGGUCCUCUGGAUUGUAAACUGCUUUUANCGGGGAAGAAUAGUUUUCUUGCGAGGGAAUGUGACGGUACCCGAUGAAUAAGCCACGGCUAACUACGUG
This 484-nucleotide ribosomal RNA is filed under the name uncultured bacterium. Its description in RNAcentral is "bacterial SSU rRNA". It matches the Rfam family "Bacterial small subunit ribosomal RNA", at positions 28 to 507 of the family's 1533-position model. The record is from RNAcentral.